UUUUUUUUUUUUUUUUUUUUUUUUUUUUUUUUUUUUUUUUUGCUUUAUUCGGUUCGUUUUUUUUUUUCUGUUUUUUUGUCUAUAGCCUUGUUAUUUACCUUUUCCUUUUUGUUAGUAGGUUGUUUUACAGCUUUGUUGUUAUUUUCUUUUGUUUGCGUAACAGUUUUAUUAAUCUUCAUUUUAUCGUUUUUUUUUUCAUUUACUUUUUCAUUUACUUUUUCAUUUACUUUUUCAUUUACUUUUUCAUUUACUUUUGCAUUUUUUUUUUUUUUUUUUUUUUUUUUUUUUUUUUUCACGUACUUCCUCCUCAGUGUUGUCAUCCGAUAAACCAUAAAUGGCAUAGUUCUUGUUUUUAAUUUGUUCUAAUUCUUCUUUAAAAUAAUUGGACUCUGUUCUAUAUUUUUCAGUAUCAUGCUUAGGAUAUAUAAAUAUAAAAAGCCCAUUUAAGUCUUUAUUCUUUUCAAUUUCAUUUUGCAGGUUAGUUAACUCUUGUCGUUCGUCCAGUAAAUCAACACUGAGAACAUCUUCAGUCAAGUUUGUAUCUACUAUAAGAAAAAGGAUUACAAAAGUAAUAAAUAUAAAAAUACUUAUUUAUUACA
This 599-nucleotide long non-coding RNA is filed under the name Piliocolobus tephrosceles (Ugandan red Colobus). Its description in RNAcentral is "lncRNA (ENSPTEG00000028280.1)". The record is from RNAcentral. Lineage: Eukaryota; Metazoa; Chordata; Mammalia; Primates; Cercopithecidae.